Molecule: ribosomal RNA, 140 nt
Filed under: Balneolaceae bacterium
Lineage: Bacteria; Pseudomonadati; Balneolota; Balneolia; Balneolales; Balneolaceae
Description: partial 16S ribosomal RNA
Rfam family: Bacterial small subunit ribosomal RNA
Source: RNAcentral
GAUGGAAGUUAGGAGUACCUGACGUCGCCGUGCUAAUCCCGACCUAGUCGGGAAGGCAGGUGCCUAGGGUAAGCCUAGUAACUGGCGCUAAGUCGUAACAAGGUAGCCGUACCGGAAGGUGCGGCUGGAUCACCUCCUUU